ACCAGCACCCUCAAGUGGUCAGGAUGAUUAUUGGGCCUAAAGCAUCCGUAGCUCGUUUGUAAGUUUCGGUUAAAUCCAUACGCUUAACGUAUGGGCUGCCGGAAAUACUGCAUAACUAGGAAGUGGGAGAGGUAGACGGUACUCGGUAGGAAGGGUAAAUCCUUUGAUCUAUUGAUGACCACCUGUGGCGAAGGCGGUCUACCAGAACACGUUCGACGGUGAGGAUGAAAGCUGGGGAGCAAACCGGAUUAGAUACCCGUA
RNAcentral lists this ribosomal RNA (261 nucleotides) under uncultured bacterium. Its description in RNAcentral is "partial 16S ribosomal RNA". It matches the Rfam family "Archaeal small subunit ribosomal RNA", at positions 475 to 741 of the family's 1478-position model. The record is from RNAcentral.